This 351-nucleotide unclassified non-coding RNA is filed under the name soil metagenome. RNAcentral describes it as "partial contains 5.8S ribosomal RNA, internal transcribed spacer 2, and large subunit ribosomal RNA". The stretch from base 2 to 121 matches the Rfam family "5.8S ribosomal RNA", at positions 35 to 154 of the family's 154-position model. The record is from RNAcentral.
GGAUGAAGAACGCAGCGAAAUGCGAUAAGUAAUGUGAAUUGCAGAAUUCAGUGAAUCAUCGAAUCUUUGAACGCACAUUGCGCCCGCCAGUAUUCUGGCGGGCAUGCCUGUUCGAGCGUCAUUUCAACCCUCAAGCCCAGCUUGGUGUUGGGGAUCGGCACAGGCGCCCUCGGGCGCCCGCCGUCCCCUAAAUCUAGUGGCGGUCCCGCUGCAGCCUCCUCUGCGUAGUAGUUUUCUCCUCGCAAGGGCAGCUCGGUGGCGACCUCGCCGUAAAACCCCCAACUUCUGAAAGGUUGACCUCGAAUCAGGUAGGAAUACCCGCUGAACUUAAGCAUAUCAAUAAGCGGAGGA